CGCGUAGGCGGUUCGUUAAGUUGCUGGUGAAAUCCCGGGGCUCAACUCCGGGGCUGCCGGCAAGACUGGCGGGCUAGAGCACGGUAGAGGCGGAUGGAAUUCCCGGUGUAGCGGUGGAAUGCGUAGAUAUCGGGAAGAAUACCGGUGGCGAAGGCGUUCCGCUGGGCCGUUGCUGACGCUGAGGCGCGACAGCGUGGGGAGCAAACA
RNAcentral lists this ribosomal RNA (207 nucleotides) under uncultured bacterium. Its description in RNAcentral is "partial 16S ribosomal RNA". It matches the Rfam family "Bacterial small subunit ribosomal RNA", at positions 568 to 774 of the family's 1533-position model. The record is from RNAcentral.